UGUAGCUCCAACGUUGAAAUUCAGUAUGUUUCCAAAUGUAGGAUCAGCAACAAAAACUAUAGUCCUGUCAUCCACUUGCCAAAAAUCUUUAAUAGCUAAGCCAGGCGUAUCAGGAUAGUUCUGAGCUAAAACUCGCAGCUUAAAACCAGUAUCCUUUUCUAUAUCUGUGAUCUCUUGUGCAAGUCUUUUCUCCUGACCAUCCGAGAGGAAGCCAGCAACAUCAAUAACUGAAGUAAACUCCUUCGGUAGCAGUUCCGGCUUGUUCACCCCUACUAAUCCCUCAGCAAUACCAACUCCUGUUAGUGAAAGAGCAAGAGCUAAAGAACCAGAAAGCAAGAAAUUCAAAGUCUUUGAUGAAAAUUUGGAUAAUUUUGGAAGUGGGUUUUCAUUCUUGACUGAAACUCUGGAAUGGGAAUGUGAUGCUCUAAUGGCAGAGUGACAAAUUUUGCUGAAUGUGAGAGAUGAAGGAAGAUGGAAAAGAGAAGCCAUUUUCAG
Molecule: unclassified non-coding RNA, 495 nt
Filed under: Hevea brasiliensis (rubber tree)
Lineage: Eukaryota; Viridiplantae; Streptophyta; Magnoliopsida; Malpighiales; Euphorbiaceae
Source: RNAcentral